AUGCAGUCGAGGGGUAUAGUUCUUCGGGACUAGAGACCGGCGCACGGGUGCGUAACGCGUAUGCAAUCUACCUUUUACAGAGGGAUAGCCCAGAGAAAUUUGGAUUAAUACCUCAUAGUAUAUAGCCCUGGCAUCAGGAUUAUAUUAAAGUCACAACGGUAAAAGAUGAGCAUGCGUCCCAUUAGCUAGUUGGUAAGGUAACGGCUUACCAAGGCUACGAUGGGUAGGGGUCCUGAGAGGGAGAUCCCCCACACUGGUACUGAGACACGGACCAGACUCCUACGGGAGGCAGCAGUGAGGAAUAUUGGACAAUGGGCGCAAGCCUGAUCCAGCCAUGCCGCGUGCAGGAUGACGGUCCUAUGGAUUGUAAACUGCUUUUAUACGAGAAGAAACACUCCUUCGUGAAGGAGCUUGACGGUAUCGUAAGAAUAAGGAUCGGCUAACUCCGUGCCAGCAGCCGCGGUAAUACGGAGGAUCCAAGCGUUAUCCGGAAUCAUUGGGUUUAAAGGGUCCGUAGGCGGUUUAAUAAGUCAGUGGUGAAAGCCCAUCGCUCAACGGUGGAACGGCCAUUGAUACUGUUAGACUUGAAUUAUUAGGAAGUAACUAGAAUAUGUAGUGUAGCGGUGAAAUGCUUAGAGAUUACAUGGAAUACCAAUUGCGAAGGCAGGUUACUACUAAUUGAUUGACGCUGAUGGACGAAAGCGUGGGUAGCGAACAGGAUUAGAUACCCUGGUAGUCCACGCCGUAAACGAUGGAUACUAGCUGUUGGAAGCAAUUUCAGUGGCUAAGCGAAAGUGAUAAGUAUCCCACCUGGGGAGUACGUUCGCAAGAAAUGAACUCAAAGGAAUUGACGGGGGCCCGCACAAGCGGUGGAGCAUGUGGUUU
This 885-nucleotide ribosomal RNA is filed under the name uncultured bacterium. RNAcentral describes it as "bacterial SSU rRNA". It matches the Rfam family "Bacterial small subunit ribosomal RNA", at positions 55 to 947 of the family's 1533-position model. The record is from RNAcentral.